Molecule: ribosomal RNA, 460 nt
Filed under: uncultured bacterium
Lineage: Bacteria
Description: partial 16S ribosomal RNA
Rfam family: Bacterial small subunit ribosomal RNA
Source: RNAcentral
CCUACGGGAGGCAGCAGUGAGGAAUAUUGGUCAAUGGGCGCGAGCCUGAACCAGCCAAGUAGCGUGAAGGAUGACUGCCCUACGGGUUGUAAACUUCUUUUAUAAAGGAAUAAAGUGAGGCACGUGUGCCUUUUUGUAUGUACUUUAUGAAUAAGGAUCGGCUAACUCCGUGCCAGCAGCCGCGGUAAUACGGAGGAUCCGAGCGUUAUCCGGAGUUAUUGGGUUUAAAGGGAGCGUAGAUGGGGUGUUAAGUCAGUGGGGAAAGUUUGCGGCUCAACCGGAAAAUUGCAAUUGAUACUGGCAGCCUUGAGUACAGUUGAGGGAGGCGGAAUUCGUGGUGUAGCGGUGAAAUGCUGAGAUAUCACGAAGAACUCCGAGUGCGAAGGCAGCUUACUAAGCUGCCACUGACAUUGAUGCUCGAAAGUGUGGGUAUCAAACAGGAUUAGAUACCCGGGUAGUG